AAAACCAACCUAUGGGAGGCAGCAGUGGGGAAUCUUAGACAAUGGGCGCAAGCCUGAUCUAGCCAUGCCGCGUGAGCGAUGAAGGCCUUAGGGUUGUAAAGCUCUUUCAGUGGGGAAGAUAAUGACGGUACCCACAGAAGAAGCCCCGGCUAACUCCGUGCCAGCAGCCGCGGUAAUACGGAGGGGGCUAGCGUUGUUCGGAAUUACUGGGCGUAAAGCGCACGUAGGUGGAUCAGAAAGUCAGAGGUGAAAUCCCAGGGCUCAACCUUGGAACUGCCUUUGAAACUCCUGAUCUUGAGGUCGAGAGAGGUGAGUGGAAUUCCGAGUGUAGAGGUGAAAU
This 340-nucleotide ribosomal RNA is filed under the name uncultured bacterium. Its description in RNAcentral is "bacterial SSU rRNA". It matches the Rfam family "Bacterial small subunit ribosomal RNA", at positions 328 to 687 of the family's 1533-position model. The record is from RNAcentral.